AGUGUUGUAACAGUUAAGCAUGUAUUUUUCAUCAGUUUUAAAUUCUCAUUUCAGUUACACUCCACUACAACACAGCAGUCUACACUUAAUGUUAUCCAACCCUUCCCAUCAUCAGCUGCAUGUGAGAAGUGAACAGGUGUGUUUUUAGAGGCGCCAUUACACUGACUUGGAACACCAGGCCACUGUUUCCGAUUAGUGAAGACUCACUAAUCUAGAUAGCACUGUGCAGCUGCUGAUCCCCAAUCUGUACCAAACUCGUGUGCCUCUAUUGCUCUCCCCCCCCUUCUCUCUUUCCACACAUACACACACUGACCCUGACUGCCACAUCUCAUCAGGACUACUGUUAUUUGGUAGAAGACGUAAUAAAUGCCAUUUUGGGAUUUAAAUAUCUAAAACUUACAAUACUACUAUUAUACAUUUUGUUGAGUACUGCUGUUACAUUAGACCAUGAAACAACACAUUUUAAAAUUCUAUUCAAGGUAACAUUUCAUGUUGUCACCCUUUGCUGGCAUCAUCUGCUUCCUGCUCCUCUUCCAGAGCAAACCCCCAUGAAACCUAAGAGUGAGGAAGGAAAUAUUCCAUACUACAAGUUGGCCAGUGUGUUGUCUAUUGUUUUACCAUUGUGUAUAUUUGUCACUAAGUGGAUCAUAAGUACAUAAGUAAGUUCUGGCACCAAAACUCUCCCUGUAAAGCCCAAAGGCAAAAGGUGAACCAAACAGAACAGUAUCUAUGAUCUCAUGCUGCUUCCUGACAUCUGCAACUAAACUGUAACUGUUUUGAUUGGGAGACCCCUAGUGGCAGAAAUGGCAUACAUAUAAUGUCAAUCAAUCUUAUCUAGAGCACAGACUCUGGUGUAUGUAUGACACUGUGUUCUGAAAAUGUGUCAGGAAUCCCUAGAUAGAUAGUAAAAUAAAUUCAAAGUACAACUAACUCUCACUUCACAUAGUGCAUCUGAAACAUGUUAUUACUUACUGACUUAUUACUUGACUUUGAUUCUAUGAACUGAAAUAGCAGCAGCCACUUAAAAGACCUGAUUGUCAUUUUUUCCUUUUAUACAAUGCAACACUCUUUUUGUAUUGUAUAAAAUAGACCCUUUCAAGAGCUACGUCACAAAAAUUUCCACGUGGAGUUUGGGGUCUGAAAACACACUAGUACCAUUAACUUGCCUACUUUCUAGCAUAGCUGGCUGUGAAAAUAGAACCAACAAUGGUGUCAAGUUCUUCAGAAUCCCUACAGGAUCUCAUCCCUUUAAAAAAUUAUUGAAAUCGUCUGUGGCUCCAAGCAUUAAAAAGAGAAGACUGGGGUGAUACUACUGCAGUCAAAGAGGCUUGCAUUUUUAGUGUUCACUUGAUUGUAAGUUAUCAUUUAUCAGCUCUUUCUGUUAGAUUAUGAUGAAAAGCCUGGAUUUCACCAAAAUGUUUGUGUCAAUGCACAUAUGUAUAUGAAACUUAUGCUGCCUAAAGUUAUGUUGUGGUCUUGGACGUAGCUAGCUUGUAGUCAACUGCCGACCGGCUAGUGCGCUGAAAAGUAAACAAGGUGUGCUAAAAAUGUUCCUUGUAAGACUUGUAUGCGCAUAGGCUUUGCCACUGGAUAUCUGGCCACUUGCUAAUAUCAUCUACCCAAUCUUUUAUGGAAGCUGGGUCGGGCAGACUAUUGCCGUCAAGAACAUAUUCAGAAUUAUUUGGUGGAGGACCGUGGACAUACAGUACAUGCUAUACCUGCUAUACCACUUACCUCUUGUGACGUUUUCUGACCCAAACUGCACGAGCAUUCUCGCUAGGCUUGCAAUGUUUGUAUACAAUGAAAUACAACAUUGUAUUUUAUGGCUUUGGUUUGUUUAAAUUUGAAAUAGCCUUUUAUUUUUUUUAUCAAGAAUUGGGCUUGCUGUGUUGUCUUUAUAGUUCCCUUUUCUUUUUUUACACCAACCAAUCUCCUCUGUGUAUCUUACAGCUUUCUUUUGAGCACAAGUUAGUCUGUGACAUUUAGGAAUGUGACAAAAUCAUUCAAAGUGACAUAAGGCAGAUAAUCAGGCAAGUUGUGAACAGUAAUUAUUGUGUCAUUUUAUCUAAACUGCUUCAUUUUAAAUUAAAGCUCAUAAAAGGCAGCAACCAAAACACCACAGGAAAUCAGUUAGUACAAAUCAAUGGCAAGUACAGAAGGUCAAUGUUGAGCUAGUGUGAACUAUGAUCAAUUCUUACAAUGGCCAGUUUGGCAGACCACUUAACUGUUGUCCAUUGUUUCCUUUUACAGACACAGUAAGUCUGGCUAAACUGGGGUCUGUAUAAAACUUGUGUGACAGCUUGCAAUUCUUGCCCAGUCCAUUUUUGUUUGCUUAACUGUGUUCCAAGAUCUCAGCAAUUAACUUGGUGAAAAAUGUAAAUGAAACCGAUAAAACAAUGUAUAAACACAAACAUAAAAGCAGGUUGCAUUAGACGUUACAUAAGUAGAUCCUAAAUGUUAUCUUUGUCUUGUCAAAGCAGUGGCGAUGGCAGCAACAAACCUUCAGCAAAUUAUACUGCAGCUUUUUUUUUAACCAACGUCAAAUUUGACACAUAAGGUCCAUCUUCAAGCAGCUGAGGUAAGUCUAUUCUAAUCUACUAAAACCUCUCCCCUCUUCUUCACUGCUGCUGUAUCCCGGUCAUUAUUUCGUAAAAUGACUGAGGAGUAGCUCAUCCUGACAAGAUAAGGACUUCACCAGUUUCUUCCUGUAAACCAUUUAUUUUUCUGAUCCUUAUCAUUUAUUCACUUAAUCAUAUAUUGUGCUUGGUGUGAAUAAAAAGGUUUAAUCAAAAAUAAAAAUAAAUGAUCCGCAAAUUUGUGCGACUCAUUCAUUUUGCCGUUAAUGUGCAAAGGCCUUAAGUCCUCAAUGCAGGCUCAACUCUAACUGACGAGAAACUUACCCAAAAGAGAAAGUUGAAAGUAAACAGGAGGUAUUUCAGACAGAUGGUUCCACAUGUUUUCUUCUUCUCUACGCUGGCCCCCAUGCUGCAAAAGACAACAGACAGUUUAAGGUCAGUUAUGAUAGCAUUAUGAUACACUAGGAGUGAUAUCCAAGUGCUACAACAGUCAAUAUUUACAAAAAAAAAACAUACAAUGAGUUAGUACUGAUGUCUUUCACAGAAAAAAGGGAUGUAAAUAAAUGUGACAAAUAUGGCUCUUUCAUUUAUUCCUUGAUCUACACAAUCAAUGUUUGUUAACACAGGAUGUUGAAACUAUCAUCUGAUAUGUUGCCUUCUUACAAUAUUUUUCUAAAAACCAAAUAAAAUCCAGAAAGAAAUAGUACCUAGAAAAUAUCUGAAUUUUUCUUUGAUGUGAAAACCAAAAUAAUGAAAGAAACAGGCACAUACUGAACAGAGAGUGCACUAGUAUGUUUAAUUAAGUUCAAUGAAAGCAGGUUUACUUGGUGAAGGCCCCCUUUUAUUUAAGGCAUCAAAUAAGAUGUAGCCUUCCUGCUACUGUGAGAUGCUUUUAACAAAUGAGAUGUUACAGGGCUAAUGCAGACCAUGGGGGAGUAAACACCAGAUCAGCAGUGUAGGCAGAAACAAUGAGCUGAGCCAUUUCAUGUGUAUGCAGAAAGAUUCAUGACUAAGCACUGAGUAGGAGUGGAAAGGCUGCUGAAGGCUAGAACAUACACCCUUAUACCCUCUUGCCUCUCUAGUGCCUGGUACAAAUAUCCAACGCUUCCUGACAAAAAAUCAUCUUCUAUUUAGAGCAGGGUCAUUUUAAAAGAUGACAGUUUAUGUUAAAAACAAUAAUUAGUGCUUUCUAUAAAUACAAGAGGGAUUUCAAAACAGCAACUCAUUAUCAGUAAUAGAUCCUGUUGUUUCUUGGUCUCUCUCUGUUUCCCCAGGUCUCACAUGGUUUUAUUAUAACCACACAAUUUUCCAGGCCUUCCUGCCAGUCAAGCCAAGACUCGCCCGACUUUGACUGCCUCCUAUCAAACCCUUCCUCCCCUCCUGCUCUCCCACCUUUAUUUACACAAGUGUCAAUUCAGACAAGCACACUGCAUGAUUGAGUGAGUGUGUCUGGAUUCUCCAUGUUUACCAUCUGUUAUUGUGGGCCCUUUUAGCAUGUGCUGGCUAAUUAAAGUCCAAGUGAAAGCCUUUA
Molecule: long non-coding RNA, 4107 nt
Organism: Solea senegalensis (Senegalese sole)
Lineage: Eukaryota; Metazoa; Chordata; Actinopteri; Pleuronectiformes; Soleidae
Exons: 2
Source: RefSeq, a predicted model, not a curated record